CCUGCGCCUUGAGGCGGUGCAGUCCGACUGUGCGGUUUGAGCCCGUGUCAUGAGGGGCGCAGAGUAACAGGGCUGUGUCUACGCAGAGGACUCAGAACAGUGGGUACCUGGAGUAAUUGAUAGAACCGACAUU
This is a small nucleolar RNA of Hucho hucho (huchen), 133 nucleotides long. Lineage: Eukaryota; Metazoa; Chordata; Actinopteri; Salmoniformes; Salmonidae. The record is from Ensembl.